RNAcentral lists this ribosomal RNA (451 nucleotides) under uncultured organism. RNAcentral describes it as "partial 16S ribosomal RNA". It matches the Rfam family "Bacterial small subunit ribosomal RNA", at positions 330 to 797 of the family's 1533-position model. The record is from RNAcentral.
CGUACACUCCUGCGGGAGGCAGCAGUGGGGAAUAUUGGACAAUGGGCGCAAGCCUGAUCCAGCCAUGCCGCGUGAGUGAUGAAGGCCCUAGGGUUGUAAAGCUCUUUCACCGGUGAAGAUAAUGACGGUAACCGGAGAAGAAGCCCCGGCUAACUUCGUGCCAGCAGCCGCGGUAAUACGAAGGGGGCUAGCGUUGUUCGGAUUUACUGGGCGUAAAGCGCACGUAGGCGGACUAUUAAGUCAGGGGUGAAAUCCCGGGGCUCAACCCCGGAACUGCCUUUGAUACUGGUAGUCUUGAGUUCGAGAGAGGUGAGUGGAAUUCCGAGUGUAGAGGUGAAAUUCGUAGAUAUUCGGAGGAACACCAGUGGCGAAGGCGGCUCACUGGCUCGAUACUGACGCUGAGGUGCGAAAGCGUGGGGAGCAAACAGGAUUAGAAACCCCAGUAGUCCCA